This is a non-coding RNA of Halogranum salarium B-1, 73 nucleotides long. Lineage: Archaea; Methanobacteriati; Methanobacteriota; Halobacteria; Halobacteriales; Haloferacaceae. The record is from Rfam.
GGGCCCGGAGCCUAUGAGGACAGGCAAGCGGCCUUUAACCGCAAGAUAGCGGGUUCGAAUCCCGUCGGGCCCU